UAGGGAAUCUUCCGCAAUGGGCGAAAGCUUGACGGAGCAACGCCUCGUGAGUGAUGAAGGUCUUCGGAUCGUAAAACUCUGUUAUUAGGGAAGAACAAAUGUGUAAGUAACUAUGCACGUCUUGACGGUACCUAAUCAGAAAGCCACGGCUAACUACGUGCCAGCAGCCGCGGUAAUACGUAGGUGGCAAGCGUUAUCCGGAAUUAUUGGGCGUAAAGCGCGCGUAGGCGGUUUUUUAAGUCUGAUGUGAAAGCCCACGGCUCAACCGUGGAGGGUCAUUGGAAACUGGAAAACUUGAGUGCAGAAGAGGAAAGUGGAAUUCCAUGUGUAGCGGUGAAAUGCGCAGAGAUAUGGAGGAGCACCAGUGGCGAAGGCGACUUUCUGGUCUGUAACUGACGCUGAUGUGCGAAAGCGUGGGGAUCAAACAGG
Molecule: ribosomal RNA, 429 nt
Filed under: Actinomycetes bacterium
Lineage: Bacteria; Bacillati; Actinomycetota; Actinomycetes
Description: Actinobacteria bacterium partial 16S ribosomal RNA
Rfam family: Bacterial small subunit ribosomal RNA
Source: RNAcentral